RNAcentral lists this ribosomal RNA (565 nucleotides) under Bacillus sp. CH371_12T. Its description in RNAcentral is "bacterial SSU rRNA". It matches the Rfam family "Bacterial small subunit ribosomal RNA", at positions 59 to 607 of the family's 1533-position model. The record is from RNAcentral. Lineage: Bacteria; Bacillati; Bacillota; Bacilli; Caryophanales; Bacillaceae.
CAGUCGAGCGGAUUUUCUGGAGCUUGCUCCAGAAAGUUAGCGGCGGACGGGUGAGUAACACGUGGGCAAUCUGCCCGUAAGACUGGGAUAACUCCGGGAAACCGGGGCUAAUACCGGAUAACCCUGACUCUCUCCUGAGAGUCAGUUGAAAGAUGGUUUCGGCUAUCACUUACGGAUGAGCCCGCGGCGCAUUAGCUAGUUGGUGAGGUAACGGCUCACCAAGGCGACGAUGCGUAGCCGACCUGAGAGGGUGAUCGGCCACACUGGGACUGAGACACGGCCCAGACUCCUACGGGAGGCAGCAGUAGGGAAUCUUCCGCAAUGGACGAAAGUCUGACGGAGCAACGCCGCGUGAGUGAAGAAGGUUUUCGGAUCGUAAAACUCUGUUGUCAGGGAAGAACACGUACGAGAGUAACUGCUCGUACCUUGACGGUACCUGACCAGAAAGCCACGGCUAACUACGUGCCAGCAGCCGCGGUAAUACGUAGGUGGCAAGCGUUGUCCGGAAUUAUUGGGCGUAAAGCGCGCGCAGGUGGUUCCUUAAGUCUGAUGUGAAAGCCCCCGG